Molecule: ribosomal RNA, 459 nt
Filed under: Streptococcus anginosus
Lineage: Bacteria; Bacillati; Bacillota; Bacilli; Lactobacillales; Streptococcaceae
Description: bacterial SSU rRNA
Rfam family: Bacterial small subunit ribosomal RNA
Source: RNAcentral
GACGAACGCUGGCGGCGUGCCUAAUACAUGCAAGUAGGACGCACAGUUUAUACCGUAGCUUGCUACACCAUAGACUGUGUGUUGCGAACGGGUGAGUAACGCGUAGGUAACCUGCCUAUUAGAGGGGGAUAACUAUUGGAAACGAUAGCUAAUACCGCAUAACAGUAUGUAACACAUGUUAGAUGCUUGAAAGAUGCAAUUGCAUCGCUAGUAGAUGGACCUGCGUUGUAUUAGCUAGUAGGUAGGGUAAAGGCCUACCUAGGCAACGAUACAUAGCCGACCUGAGAGGGUGAUCGGCCACACUGGGACUGAGACACGGCCCAGACUCCUACGGGAGGCAGCAGUAGGGAGUCUUCGGCAAUGGGGGGAACCCUGACCGAGCAACGCCGCGUGAGUGAAGAAGGUUUUCGGAUCGUAAAGCUCUGUUGUUAAGGAAGAACGAGUGUGAGAAUGGAAAGU